UACGAGGGGGGGCAAGCGUUGUUCGGAAUUAUUGGGCGUAAAGGGUGCGUAGGCGGUUUGACAAGUCUGAUGUGAAAUCUAUGGGCUCAAACCCCAUAGUCCUGCAUUAGAAACUGUCGGGGCUUGAGUAUGGGAGAGGUGAGUGGAAUUUCCGGUGUAGCGGUGAAAUGCGUAGAUAUCGGAAGGAACACCUGUGGCGAAAGCGGCUCACUGGACCAUUACUGACGCUGAUGCACGAAAGCUAGGGGAGCAAACAGG
This 258-nucleotide ribosomal RNA is filed under the name uncultured bacterium. RNAcentral describes it as "partial 16S ribosomal RNA". It matches the Rfam family "Bacterial small subunit ribosomal RNA", at positions 524 to 776 of the family's 1533-position model. The record is from RNAcentral.